UACGUAGGGUGCAAGCGUUGUCCGGAAUUAUUGGGCGUAAAGAGCUCGUAGGCGGUUUGUCGCGUCUGCUGUGAAAACUCGGGGCUUAACUCCGGGCCUGCAGUGGGUACGGGCAGACUAGAGUGCGGUAGGGGAGACUGGAAUUCCUGGUGUAGCGGUGAAAUGCGUAGAUAUCGUCAGGAACGCCAAUGGUGAAGACAGGUAACUGGGCUAGUUCUGACACUGAGGCACGAAAGCGUGGGGAGCGAACGGG
Molecule: ribosomal RNA, 253 nt
Filed under: uncultured bacterium
Lineage: Bacteria
Description: partial 16S ribosomal RNA
Rfam family: Bacterial small subunit ribosomal RNA
Source: RNAcentral